Molecule: ribosomal RNA, 253 nt
Filed under: uncultured bacterium
Lineage: Bacteria
Description: partial 16S ribosomal RNA
Rfam family: Bacterial small subunit ribosomal RNA
Source: RNAcentral
UACGGGGGGGGUAAGCGUUGUUCGGAAUUACUGGGCGUAAAGGGCUCUUAGGCGGCCAACUAAGUCAGACGUGAAAUCCCUCAGCUUAACUGGGGAACUGCGUCUGAUACUGGAUGGCUUGGAUUCGGGAGAGGAAUGCGGAAUUCCAGGUGUAGCGGUGAAAUGCGUAGAUAUCUGGAGGAACACCGGUGGCGAAGGCGGCAUUCUGGACCGACAUUGACGCUGAGGAGCGAAAGCCAGGGGAGCAAACGGG